This 253-nucleotide ribosomal RNA is filed under the name uncultured bacterium. RNAcentral describes it as "partial 16S ribosomal RNA". It matches the Rfam family "Bacterial small subunit ribosomal RNA", at positions 524 to 776 of the family's 1533-position model. The record is from RNAcentral.
UACGUAGGGCGCAAGCGUUGUCCGGAAUUAUUGGGCGUAAAGAGCUCGUAGGCGGUUUGUCGCGUCUGCUGUGAAAUCCCGAGGCUCAACCUCGGGCUUGCAGUGGGUACGGGCAGACUAGAGUGCGGUAGGGGAGACUGGAAUUCCUGGUGUAGCGGUGGAAUGCGCAGAUAUCAGGAGGAACACCGAUGGCGAAGGCAGGUCUCUGGGCCGCAACUGACGCUGAGGAACGAAAGCAUGGGGAGCGAACAGG